This 1105-nucleotide long non-coding RNA is filed under the name Malus domestica (apple). RNAcentral describes it as "long non-coding RNA (MDOM_LNC001063)". Lineage: Eukaryota; Viridiplantae; Streptophyta; Magnoliopsida; Rosales; Rosaceae. The record is from RNAcentral.
UCCCUUUGAAUGCAGCAACUAACUUUAAACACAAUGGGGUUAUUCAUUCAACUUUUUAGGGCCGAUUUCAACUAUAAACAACACUUGUGAGUCUUUCCUCACUUAUUUCAAACUCUUUUUCUUUUCUUUUUUUCUUUUUCUUUUCUAACCCGUGCCUUAUUACUUUCUUUUGGCACACAAAACACAAAAAUCUCAUUCCCCCAUACUUGUUUUCUGCAUAAGGACAAUCAAAAGGAAUUCAUUUUAAGUCAUGCUUCAUUAUGCUUUAAAAACAAGGGUAUGGAUAGUCCUAAUCUAGGCUAGGUAAGGGAAAUGUGGUUUAACAAAGAAAACAGGCUAAACAAGGCUCAAUGGGGUUAAACUUAAACAAAUAUGCACGGGAUAAGCUUUUUGGCUCUAGUUCACUACACAACUUCAUCUUGAAUAUGUGUUAUGCAAAUCAAUGUCAUGCUUUGAAUGGAACGGGCAUAAGUUCUAGUAUUUGGAACUAAAUGAUGAAACGCCUUCUAAGUAGCAACCAAGCGCAAAGAAUGAUGAGAUCAUGCAACGACUUUAGAAAACAAAAAUGCACAGAUUAAUAACUCUCCAAAGAACGUAUUAGGCUCAAGUCUCUCAAGGUUGUAGUGUUAGUUUGAGUUCCUUCCUUCAAGCAUGUUACAAAAAACUGAUUUUUUUUUCUUUGUGAUUACAUGUGAAUUCGUAAACUAUAACUAUAACCAAGCAUAAAUCAAGAGCAUAUCAAACUUUCAUCCAUGUUUAUAACUUUCUUUAACAGUCAUGCAAUUAACAAACCAAAUCCUCAUUAUUGUGUUGGAAGGUAUCCUAAGACACAAACAAACACACAAAAACAACUCUUUUGGCUUUUUCAAAAACAAUUUUUUUUUUCAAACUUUUGUCAAAUUUUCGGAUUUUUAUGUCAAAACAUACUAACAUGCUUAAAAACACACUAAAAACACUUAAAACAGCAAGAAACAACAUUGUAAGUGAUAGGUGAAUAAAAUCCCACGAAAAUCAUGCAACAACAACUUGUUUACCCCCCCCACACUUAAAUCUAACAUUGUCCUCAAUGUUUCAAACAUAAACUCACACAAAAGCAAACAAACAA